CAGCAGUAGGGAAUCUUCGGCAAUGGACGAAAGUCUGACCGAGCAACGCCGCGUGAGUGAAGAAGGUUUUCGGAUCGUAAAACUCUGUUGUAGGGGAAGAAUGACUACUAGACGAAUAGGCUAGUAGAUUGACGGUACCCUAUUAGAAAGCCACGGCUAACUACGUGCCAGCAGCCGCGGUAAUACGUAGGUGGCAAGCGUUGUCCGGAAUUAUUGGGCGUAAAGCGCGCGCAGGCGGUCCUAUAAGUCUGAUGUGAAAGCCCCCGGCUCAACCGGGGAGGGUCAUUGGAAACUGUAGGACUUGAGUACUGGAGAGAAGAGUGGAAUUCCACGUGUAGCGGUGAAAUGCGUAGAGAUGUGGAGGAACACCAGUGGCGAAGGCGACUCUUUGGCCAGAAACUGACGCUGAGGCGCGAAAGCGUGGGGAGCAAACAGGAUUAGAUACCCUG
Molecule: ribosomal RNA, 449 nt
Filed under: uncultured Bacillus sp.
Lineage: Bacteria; Bacillati; Bacillota; Bacilli; Caryophanales; Bacillaceae
Description: bacterial SSU rRNA
Rfam family: Bacterial small subunit ribosomal RNA
Source: RNAcentral